AAAUCUACAAAGGGGAGCUUUUUAGCUGAGAGUGAUUAAGUUCAGACCCUUGAACCUGUUGUGUUAGUGCACGCGUAGGAAUUGUAGCUUUAGGGCCU
Molecule: non-coding RNA, 98 nt
Filed under: Loigolactobacillus rennini
Lineage: Bacteria; Bacillati; Bacillota; Bacilli; Lactobacillales; Lactobacillaceae
Also listed under: 1 other name
Description: Lactobacillus rennini TPP sequence
Rfam family: TPP riboswitch aptamer (THI element)
About the family: Vitamin B(1) in its active form thiamin pyrophosphate (TPP) is an essential coenzyme that is synthesised by coupling of pyrimidine and thiazole moieties in bacteria. The previously detected thiamin-regulatory element, thi box was extended, resulting in a new, highly conserved RNA secondary structure, the THI element, which is widely distributed in eubacteria and also occurs in some archaea.
Source: RNAcentral